GACAGAGCGACUUCCCCGGGCAUCGGCGGGCCGGUGGCGAAGGCAGCCAGGAAGGAAAGGGCGGGAGUUUGGUGCUUUCUGGGAGCGGCGCCGGCAGAGCGUGACUUGAAGCCAUCGUUCGGGCACCGGGACGAACAUGCAGCAGGAGACAGGGCGUGCAUCGCAUGUACAUGCGUGCGAGCAUGCGUGUGCAGGGCCCGCAGCCGUGCGGGCAGGCAGGCUGCCAACGUUUGAUUUGACUACUGCUGAGCGUUAAGCUGAUCUUCUCAGACAACUAUCAACAAUCACCCCCAAAUCUUUUUUUUCCUGAGAGGAGGCAAAUCAGAGCCAAGCCACCGAUACCAAACUAACCAAAUAAACUGGAGGGUUUUUACCAGGUUUUCCUACAUGUUGUUGCUGUUACAAAGGACCGACACAUACGGUGAUCUGAGCAACUCCAGACUGGGAGAAUCAAGGUGUCAAUCUUAGAGUCACUAAUUCUUGCAGUCCUUGGAACAUGAUGCUGUUAAAAUCCUCAGCUCAUGGGAUCAAGACAUUUGAAGAGGAGAUGUGGGGAGGAGCGGAGAAAAUUAAGUAGAUUUUUAUCGACCGUGCUGUUAAAGAAAAGUAGGAAAUUUCCUAGAAAGCAUCCUCUGUGAGUUCGGGUGCAGCCGUUUGGGUGUCCUGAUACACAGGAGCUCGUCUUCCUGAUGCCUGCAAUUGCGCCGAGUUACGCAAGUCAACCGACCCAUUAUUGCUCAUCACCCUCCUUCCCAAAUCGAGCGUUGACAGCUGAGACCAGCAGAAGAGCUGAAAGCCCUCCCAGACUCGAGGCGCAGGCACUAAUCAAAGCCACAUCUCGUCAGGGCCAUCCAGUUGGGAAAUCAGACUUCCCUCCCUGUUUCUGGGGUGUUUCAUCCCACAGGACCUCAGAGCUUGUCGGCACUGUUAGGUUGGCCAUUGGAAGUGAGGAGCCUCUUCUGUGGGACAUGGCGUCCAUCUAAAAUGGAGGCUACAUCUUCUAAAAUUAUUGCCUUCAACGGCUUGUUCUCGUGCAGCACCUGAGCGCCUGCCGUAUUGGUACACAUGCGGAGAACAUUUGCAUAAAAUCCUAGCCUUAACAAAAGCCAGCUGGAUUUGGGAGAGUUUCACUUAUUAUUCCCAAUUUUGACCUCAACAGCAACAACAACAUUAGUGAAUUCAACAGCACUAACACCUUGAGGACCACUGACAAAGCUGGCCACAUCCCCACUACUCGAGUCUCUGAGCUCCAGGAGGAGCGUUGCUUUAUCCCUGCUGCCUCCGGGAAAUUGUCCACAGCCCAUGCCAACUCCUCACCCAUGCCUGGGUGAGUUAUUUGGAGGUGUGCAAGUUGACCCACGGCAAAAUUACGCCGAGGACUGUGCUAACAGCAUGAGCAAUUCCAUCGAUUUGAAGUUAAUCGUGUCUCAACGGGACUUUUUGCUUGCUUCACAUGCUGCGAGUGAUUAAUUACCUUCUAGAAGCAAGGCUUGCAAAACCACUUCUUGUGGGGUAGGAGGGCUUUCUUGGUGGCCGCACAAAACGGUUCAUCUCCCCACAGAGACUUCUGGCAAGCCGAGAGCCGCAAGAGGAAGCCGUGGCCGAGCACCGUCUCCUGCAAGCAGCCGACUGCCGGGAUUCAGUGCACCUGCCUUGCUCACCUCUGUUUUGCAGAGCGUAACUUCUUCCAACGUAAAGGAAAAGCUUGAAUUGGGCUGUUGGGAGGAGGUGAAGUUCUUGCAGGCCGUGGUGAGCAGGAGGGCGGUGGGCUGGAGCAUGUGCUUCUGUGCAACCUCUGCUUGGGAGCAGAUUACGUGACCUUCCCAGGCUCAACGCUCGUGACCAGCUGGAGGGGGAAAAACCUCCCAGAUUUACAAGCAGCUAUGAACCCUGCUCGGAUCCAGAGCCACUGCCGUAAACGUUGUGUGGUCAGGGGCUGGUCUGGGGAGAAGGGGAGCAGGUGUGUGUCCACGAAGAAUAAUUUACAUACUUAUUGUUUUCAAGUGAAAUAAUCCCAGCUGUUUUACUUUUUUCAGCGACCUGGUUAUUGCAACGUGCCUGUUCCAGUCACUGACGCGAAAGCUGGUGGUCUGAUCCUAACGCCCUUUUAAUGCAAUUUUGCUGAUUCUCCCAUGCGGAAGCGUACCGGAUGCCGAGCAGGACACUGGGAGGUGCUUGAAAAGAUUAUCCGCAAAGCCGCAUACGGCGAAGCAAAACGUGACGUCAGGAAAGCUUUUUGCAACGGAGUUAUUCGCGGCGUCUCGCAUGAACAGGGAGACCCAGGAAAGCUCCGCAGAGGCGGUGGGAUUCAUCACAUCGGCAUCCGCGGAGGAAGCUCUGACCUACGCAGCUCUCGGCCGCUACUGUGUCGUUUCUAAGUUGCAGGGAAGAUGGUGAUACGCGGCUGUGAUUCCUGGUUAUGCAAUUCAGCCGUUUGCAAUUUUGCUUCCUUCCAAACACCCUCCGGGCUCUUUUCCAUAUUAUAAACAAAACAGCCUGCAACAUUUCACUCAGAAGGCAGAAACCGGUGCCUCGGAUGCUCGCUCUGUGCUGCAAUUCUGCUUUUCUUUUGUAGGGAACGCUUUGAGCAGAGCCAUCUCAGGUGAAAUAAACUGCAAGGAGUAAGCAUGUCUUAAAAAGAAAGCGUGUGCUUCCUUUGGGGUGUUUCAUUUCAAAAUUAAAAGGAGAGU
Phalacrocorax carbo (great cormorant) is the source of this 2690-nucleotide non-coding RNA. The record is from RefSeq and is a predicted model, not a curated record. NCBI's taxonomy places the organism in Eukaryota, Metazoa, Chordata, Aves, Suliformes, Phalacrocoracidae.